This is a non-coding RNA of Camponotus floridanus (Florida carpenter ant), 45 nucleotides long. The record is from Rfam. Lineage: Eukaryota; Metazoa; Arthropoda; Insecta; Hymenoptera; Formicidae.
UAAACGGCCCUUUUCAGGGCCAAAAAAUGUUUCCAACGUUGAUUC